This 204-nucleotide long non-coding RNA is filed under the name Brassica napus (rape). RNAcentral's name for it is "long non-coding RNA (BNAP_LNC021284)". Lineage: Eukaryota; Viridiplantae; Streptophyta; Magnoliopsida; Brassicales; Brassicaceae. The record is from RNAcentral.
GCGUUUCUGUCUGAGAAGAACUAAAAUGGGCUCAUGGCUCCUAUGCUAUUUUCUGUCUUAAACCAUGAUGGUUCAUCGUAUGAAGACAGCAACCCUCGAUAAUACCCCUCUUGCGCUUCUUCCUUCUGUUGGAGCCUGAAUCUCUGAAAGUGCUAAAAUUUCUUCAUCCAGAUUAGAACAUGUCGCUGGGUACAAUGGCGGAGA